This 246-nucleotide ribosomal RNA is filed under the name uncultured bacterium. Its description in RNAcentral is "partial 16S ribosomal RNA". It matches the Rfam family "Bacterial small subunit ribosomal RNA", at positions 15 to 252 of the family's 1533-position model. The record is from RNAcentral.
GAUCCUGGCUCAGGAUGAACGCUAGCUACAGGCUUAACACAUGCAAGUCGAGGGGCAGCGGGAAGUCAGCUUGCUGACUUUGCCGGCGACCGGCGCACGGGUGAGUAACACGUAUCCAACCUUCCCGUUACUCUGGAAUAGCCUUUCGAAAGAAAGAUUAAUACCGGAUAGUAUCGAGAGAUUGCAUGAUUACCCGAUUAAAGAUUCAUCGGUAACGGAUGGGGAUGCGUUCCAUUAGGCAGUUGG